UGCAGCCUAUCGACGGUACCACCACAUU
This 28-nucleotide non-coding RNA is filed under the name Rattus norvegicus (Norway rat). The record is from RNAcentral. Lineage: Eukaryota; Metazoa; Chordata; Mammalia; Rodentia; Muridae.